CCUGAUCUUCUACACCUCAUAACUCCGCAAUCAUAACUCCAAUUGAGGUGAAACCAACACUCACUUCUUCGUCUCGUUGAGCUAUAUCUUUUGGUAACAUUUUCACUAGGUGUUCUCACAGUGAAAAUGACCAUUUUGCCCUUGCCUCUAAUCAGCCCCCUCCGAGAAAGAACCGUCCGACGUUUUGUUCCGCGGCUUCACCGCACCUCUUCCUGGAGUCUCCGUCACCCAGGCAAGCCACAAUACCCACUUGCAUGAUAGUCAUCCAGUAGCCAUGGUUUUCAACUUAAAUAUUUAUUAAAUGUUUGCUUGUUUAAAACAUGGUUAUAGUUGUUUCGGUAAUGCUUAUGGAUUCAUGCUUACUUUCUUGCUAUGUUGUUAUGCACCUGGUUGUCAUGCCCUGCUAGUUGCUAGUAUUCCUUUCAUAUGCUUAUGCUUGCUAGUAGUAUAUGUUGAUGUUGGUAAUGGUCUUCGGUGCAUGACUGCCGUCUGUCCCGAGUACUGUUGUUAUGCAUGUUCCUUUGCAUCCAGUUGGUUAAAUGCUUGCGUGAUGGCAUUGUUGAUAUGUUCUUGCAUGAUGUUUAUUGUUGAUGCUAGUGGUCAUGUUAUGCUAUGAGUAGUGUUGUACUGGUAAUAUUCAUGCUCUUCAUUAUGGCAUGCUCAGUUGGAGAAGAUUCAUUGUUGAUAUGGUGGCUAGUUAUGUGGCACCCAUGCUUAUGUUGAUAUCAUGCUCAUGCAUUUUAAUUGUAUCAUGUAUUUUAUCAUGGCUUAGUAUAUUUGCAUUCAUGUUUAACCGGAUUAAAUUGAACUUGAACAACUGUUGGCUGAGUCAUGGUGCCACCAUAUCGAACUGACCAGUGCAACCACGCUUACCUUUAUGGGAAGGUCCUAAUUGGGUCUAUUGUCGUGCCUCUCGCUGGUGCGUCUAACGAGGGAAGGUUAUGGGUGUGCGGUACCCUGGUGAGGGAGUCCUGGAUUAGGGGGUGUCCGGAUAGCCGAACUAUACCUUCAGCCGGACUCCUGGACUAUGAAGAUACAAGAUUGAAGACUUCGUCUCGUGUCCGGAAGGGACUUUCCUUGGCGUGGAAGGCAAGCUUGGCGAUACGAAUAUUAAGAUCUCCUACCAUUGUAACCGACUUUAUGUAACCCUAACCGUAUCCGGUGUCUAUAUAAACCGGAGGGUUUUAGUCCGUAGGACAACAUACACAUCAACAAUCAUACCAUAGGCUAGCUUCUAGGGUUUAGCCUCUCUGAUCUCAUGGUAGAUCUACUCUUGUACUACCCAUAUCAUCAAUAUUAAUCAAGCAGGACGUAGGGUUUUACCUCCAUCGAGAGGGACUGAACCUGGGUAAAACAUCGUGUGCCUUGCCUCCUGUUACCAUCCGGCCUAGAUGCACAGUUCGGGACCCCCUAUGGCUAAGUGAGAGUGUUCACGCAUUAUAGUCUGAUUGCCUCGUUCGUUGGGCUAAGCGCCUCCCUCGAAGGCCCAGGUUUAUCCCCGAACACCCCAGCACUAGCGGCAAGGGGGGCAGAAGCCAAUGACUCGCCAUCUCUCAGUAUUGAUAAAUAGCCGCACAGAAGGUAAUAUUUUAAAUUCAAGCAGCAUUGCUUAGCGCAUAUGAACAAGUUUUCAACGCAUAGGAUAACACGAGCGGGUUUUACUCAAAAAAUACAUCCUUGGUACAUUCAUCCGCAACAAGGCGGGCACCCUUCAGAACAUCCUUAUAAUAAUUCUCGGGCUUGCGAUGCUCUUUCCCCAGCGGUGGCCCGUCCUUCACAAGCUUCUCCGCAUCCAGCUUGCCCCAGUGCACCUUAGCACGGGCAAGGGCCCUACCGGCACCUUCAAUGUAGAUGGAGCGCUUGAUGUCUUCAAGCCUCAGACAGGCGUCCACCAGCCGCCGCACCAGCCCAAAAUAGCUCCCAGGCAGAGCCUCUCCAGGCCAUAGCUGAACUAUGAGGCCCUUCAUGGCCUGUUCGGCCGCCUUGUGGAGCUCGACCAGUUGCUUCAGCUGGUCGCUCAGGGGCACGGGGUGUGCGGCCUCAGCGUACUGAGACCAGAACACCUUCUCCAUCGAGCUGCCCUCCUCAGCUCGAUAGAAUGCGGCAGCAUCGGACACAUUCCGGGGGAGAUCUGCGAACGCUCCUAGAGAGCUCCGGAUUUGGGUAAGUAUCAAGUAACUCACAUUUAUGUGUUUACUCUGCAUAAAGAAUGCCUUACCCGCCACUAUCUUCUUCACCUCAUCCAACUCCCGGAGGGUCUUCUGGGACUCGGCCUUGGCAGAUUUGGCACUUUCAAUAGCCACCGCAAGCUCGGAUGCUUGCGUCUUCGAGUCACGCUCCAAACUCUCAUGUUUUUCCAUGAGAGCCUGGAGCUCUUGCCGCACCUUGCCAACCUCGGCCUCAUACUUCUCCCGCUCGAUGCGCUCCAAGGCCGAAAAUCUUCUCGGCCUCGUCCAGCGCUUGCUUAAGGGUCGCCACCUGAGACGUGGCCCCUACAAUAGCCACGAUAAUCCUGUCAUUUUUUGCAAUUGCACCUUAUAUAUAUAUAUUUUUAACAAGGUAUUUCUUACCUUCAUUGUCCUCGAGCUGCUUCUUGGCACGCUCGAGCUCUUGCUUGGACCUUUCGAGGUCCUGCUUUAGCGUGUCCACUUCCGCAGUCAGUGCGGCGGAUGCAAGCAGGGUAGCCUGCACAUGCAUAUUGACUCAUUUUUGUUAGACUCCUGCGAAUUCUAUUUGAUCCUCUAUUCGGCUUUUCUUCCCGAACGCCAAACAGAGCAUCAGGGGCUACUGUCUAUGCAGUACUAUUAUUUACGCAUUCUUUACUUACCUCAAAGCCUGUUAAAAGACUUGUACAAGCUUCAGUCAGUCCGCUCUUGGCGGACUGAACCUUCCGGAUCACCACACUCAUAAUAGUGUGGUGCCCCUCGUCGAUGGAGGCACCUUGGAGCGCCUCCAACAUAUUGUCCGGCGCCUCCGGUUGGACGGAGGUCACCGGCACGGCGGGCUUGCUCCUCUUGGAAGGAGGUCCCCCGCCGGACUCUGGAACCUUUGAAGAUUCCGGAGCGGUAUCCGGCCUAGGGCCGGACUUGGAGCCCUGGGGGGUUUCAUCCCCUUUACUCCUGGAGUCCAGGAGGUCGCCUUGCGGCGCCUCCGGGACCACCUCCUACCUGCUGGGAACCUGUUCGGACAACACCUUGGUGUCGUCCGUAGGGCGGGGGGAGGAAGCCGUCGGAAGUGAGUUCACGUCCGACGAGUCCAGUGAGACGCUCGACGACAUGUUGAGCCGGUCUUUGGGUGGGCUGCAUAAACACAUUCGACAUAAGGGAAAGCUGUGCAAUAAACGAAUACCAUGAAUUACUUUGGUAUCCGGAUACUUACGAUUUCGCCAGCGGCUUGGCCCUGGGCACCCACUCCUCUUUGCCGUUGUCGGCGUCGGUGGAGUAGUCCGGAGAAAGGGUUUUCCCCUUCUUGGACCCUUCGGCCUCCCCAGUUGGGGCGGCCUUCCUUUUCUUCCCUUCCCCCGCUGGAGGGGGAGGGGUCUCUUCUUCCUCCUCCUUGUCUUCAUGGGAGGAGUGCGCCUCGGAUUCAUCGGAUGGUGAAUCCGACACCUCCGGGCGUCGGGCACUCUUUCGAGUCCCCGUGGCCUUCUUCUUGGCCCUCUUCUCCGGCACCACAUAGGGUGCCGGAACCAGCAACUUCGCCAGGUGAGCGUCCGCUGGGCCUUCGGGCAAAUGAGCCGGACAGUUGAUCUGUCCGGACGUCACCUGCCAAUCCUGUCAGAGGAAAGGGAGCUUAGAUCCCGCAUAGAAUCAAACUAUGUAAAACUGCUACCCUGUAAAAGGAAAAACAGCUUACCACGAGCGCGUGACGCUGCAUGCUGAAUCCGCGAUCCUCGGUAGCGGAUGCAGGAGCCUCGGCGCCCUUGAAAAGCAUCCUCCAGGCAUCUUCGUAUGUCGUGUCGAAGAGCCUGUUCAAAGUUUGAUGCUGCACCGGGUCGAACUCCCACAUAUUGAAGGCCUGUCGUUGACACGGGAGGAUCAGGCGGAUGAGCAUAACCUGGACUACGUUGACAAGUUUGAGCUUCUUGUUCACCAGGGUUUGGAUGCAUGUUUGGAGUCCGGUCAGCUCUCCUUUUUUACCCCACUACAGGCCGGUCUCCUUCCAGGAGUUGAGCCGCGUAGGGGGUCCGGACCGAAACUCGGGGGCUGCGACCCAUUUGGGGUCGCACGACUCGGUGAUGUAAAACCACCCCGAUUGCCACCCCUUCAGGGUCUCCACAAAGGAGCCCUCGAGCCACAGGACGUUGGCCAUCUUGCCAACCAUGGCACCGCCGCACUCCUCCUGGCUGCCGCGCACCACCUUCGGCUUGACGUUGAAAGUCUUAAGCCAUAGGCCAAAAUGGGGGCGGAUCCGGAGGAACUCCUCGCACACGACGAUGAACGCCGAGAUGUUGAGGACGAAGUUUGGGGCCAGAUUGUGGAAAUCCAGGCCGUGGUAGAACAUGAGCCCCCGGACAAAUGGAUGCAGAGGGAAGCCCAGUCCGCGGAGGAAAUGGGGGGGAAUACCACCCUCUCAUGGGGCCUAGGAGUGGGGAUGAGCUGCCCCUUUUCGGGAAGCCGGUGCGCGAUAUCGCUAGCCAGAUAUCCGGCCUUCCUCAGCUUUUUGAUGUGUCCCUCCGUGACGGAGGAGACCAUCCACUUGCCUCCUGCUCCGGACAUGACUGGAGAAGGUUGAGGUGGUAGUGCGGACUUGGGCGCUGGAGCUCGAGUGCGCAAGAAUGGAUAGGCAAAGGAGGAAGAAGGCGUGGGUGAAAGGGUGGAUCCUUAUCCCCUUAUAUGGGUGGACGCAACAAUGUGUCCCCACCAGCCUGGUAAAAAUCGCUUAUCUCCAAGCACCGUAAUCAAUGGCGCGGUUGGGUUACCCACGCCGGUAUUGAUGAGAAUCCCGGAAUAAGGGGACACGAUCUCUGCUUUAACAAGACGUGCCAAGCAGACCGCCUCGCGUAACGCGCUAAGAUGGGACAGUAAAACGGUUCGAAUAAAAGCUUGGCUGUGGUGUGAUGUCACACUACGGAAUACGUCAGCAGAUUAGAUUUGUGUAAAUAUUAUUCUCUCUAUGGCAAUAUGUGGAAACUUAUUUUGCAGAGCCGGACACUAUCUUUGUGUUCAAAAUGUUCUAUGAAGUACUUGGAGGAGGAACCCGCCUUGCAAUGUCAAAGACAAUUUGCGCACCGGACUCGUCAUCAUUGAAGCCUGGUUCAGGGGCUACUGAGGGAGUCCUGGAUUAGGGGGUGUUUGGAUAGCCGAACUAUACCUUCAGCCGGACUCCUGGACUAUGAAGAUACAAGAUUGAAGACUUCGGCCCGUGUCCGGAAGGGACUUUCCUUGGCGUGGAAGGCAAGCUUGGCGAUACGGAUAUUCAGAUCUCCUACCAUUGUAACCGACUCUAUGUAACCCUAACCCUAUCCGGUGUCUAUAUAAAUCGGAGGGUUUUAGUCCGUAGGACAACAUACACAUGAACAAUCAAACCAUAGGCUAGCUUCUAGGGUUUAGCCUCUCUGAUCCCAUGGUAGAUCUACUCUUGUACUACCCAUAUCAUCAAUAUUAAUCAAGCAGGACGUAGGGUUUUACCUCCAUCGAGAGGGCCCGAACCUGGGUAAAACUUCAUGUCCCUUGCCUCCUGUUACCAUCCGGCCUAGACGCACAGUUCGGGACCCCCUACCCGAGAUCCGCCGGUUUUCACACCGACACCUGGCCUGGUAAGAAGACAUAACCUUGUGUGCCCAUUGUUGUUGUUAUGGAUCUGGUCCCCGUGAGGGACGGUCCCCGUGAGGGACGUUUUGGCCACGACGGUGGUCGUUGUGACUUUGGUAGACACGGUGCCACCCAGGACUAGCCCAGUUGGGAUUGGGUCGGAUUGGCCAGGAGAGUGUCAUGGCAGUAGAUCGGUUUUGUCGGAAUGUCGUUGGUCCACCUGAAUGGGAGUGCGAGGCCAUGGGUUCCUUAGUGUGGGUACAAUGUACUAACAUCUGCAGAGUGCAUAUUAAAUCUAUCGAUAGCCGUGCCCGUGGAUAAGGGCCUAGUUCGUAGUUGGUCACACUAUGAGUCAACAGUAAUAAUAAUAAUAAUGUGUUUAAUAACAACCCCGGUUCGAUGAUGAGAUAAGUUGGUUGUGAUCGCCGGAAGGAUCACUGUUGGAGACCAAGUGUUGGUCGUGGUUGUGAUCGCCGGAAGGAUCACUGUUUGAGACCAAGUGUUGGUCGUGGUUGGGAUCGCCGGAAGGAUCACCAUUUGGUUACGAGGUAACUCGAGCAGAGUAAAUGGUGCAUAUAGUGUCAUCAUGUUGCAUGCUGGUAUCGUCAGAUUUAUAUGUUCAUGUCAUAAUCCUAUUGUUCUAGCAGUAUUAUGUUCACGUUGUUCAUGCCAUGAUCAUAUUGUUCUAGCAGUAUUAUGUUCAUGUUGUUCAUGCCAUGUUAUUCUGAUGAUCUCAUGAGAGUUCCUGCUUAACCUGUAAUUCCCAUGUUGUUGUUUGUCUUGAAUGCUUCUGGUUAUUGUGAGCUUGCAAGUACAUUCAAUGUACUGACCUGGCGUGUCAUGCCAGUUUGCAGGUCAUGCCUGGAUUUCUUGCUUGUUUGGUGUUGUUCCCGUGUUCGCGAGCUAGGAUAAACAUUCCAUCCAGAGUCCCUAUGGAUUGGAGUCCAUCAUCGACGUUCGUUGUUCCGCUGCCAGUAAUUGUUCCGCUGCUUCAAGUUGUUAUGCUGCUUGUAUGGAGCAACCAUGGUUGGCAUAAUGUUGCAGUGCCGAUGUUAUUCAUUGUAAUAUCGGAACGCUUGUAUUCAUAUUCGUGUUGUAAUAGAGAGCUG
This 6862-nucleotide long non-coding RNA is filed under the name Triticum aestivum (bread wheat). RNAcentral's name for it is "long non-coding RNA (TAES_LNC015136)". The record is from RNAcentral. Lineage: Eukaryota; Viridiplantae; Streptophyta; Magnoliopsida; Poales; Poaceae.